RNAcentral lists this ribosomal RNA (454 nucleotides) under Tramea onusta. Its description in RNAcentral is "eukaryotic LSU rRNA". The record is from RNAcentral. Lineage: Eukaryota; Metazoa; Arthropoda; Insecta; Odonata; Libellulidae.
GAAGAGAGAGUUCAAGAGUACGUGAAACCGUCUGGGAGUAAACGGGUGGUUCCCGAAAGUGCGAAAGGGGAGAUUCAGGUCUCGCCGCGCGUCGGGCCGCUCCCGCGUCAAGGGAUGGCGUUUUCGCGGCCGUGGGGCGACCCACGGACCGGAGNNNGCGCCACCCCGCGGGGGUGGUCUCCCCGGCGUCGGAGUGACGCACUUCUCCCCCGGUAGAACGUCGCGAUCCGUCGGUCGCCGGCCUAAGGCCUCGGGUGGAGCCUUGUGCGGUUCGCCGCGCCAGACCCCGAGGAUCCCGGCCGGGUGCCCGACGGUACGAAGAGAGGAAGGAGUCGGCGCGCCUCUCGCAGGCGUCCGCCCCUCCGCAAGCGCCCGCGGGAGUCGGAGGUUUUCCGGGCCCGGUCCGGCCUCUGUCUUCAGCGGGGCUGUUUGCGAUGAGGAGGUGCGCUCGGAC